UGUCCCGUGGUGUAAUUGGUAGCACGAAGGAUUCUGGUUCCUUUAGUCUUGGUUCGAGUCCAAGCGGGAUAG
This 72-nucleotide transfer RNA is filed under the name Planctomycetaceae bacterium. Its description in RNAcentral is "tRNA-Gln". It matches the Rfam family "tRNA". Rfam says of the family: Transfer RNA (tRNA) molecules are approximately 80 nucleotides in length. Their secondary structure includes four short double-helical elements and three loops (D, anti-codon, and T loops). Lineage: Bacteria; Pseudomonadati; Planctomycetota; Planctomycetia; Planctomycetales; Planctomycetaceae. The record is from RNAcentral.